Molecule: ribosomal RNA, 468 nt
Filed under: uncultured bacterium
Lineage: Bacteria
Description: partial 16S ribosomal RNA
Rfam family: Bacterial small subunit ribosomal RNA
Source: RNAcentral
GAUGAACGCUGGCGGCGUGCUUAACACAUGCAAGUCGAACGGAAAGGCCCAAGCUUGCUUGGGUACUCGAGUGGCGAACGGGUGAGUAACACGUGGGUGAUCUGCCCUGCACUUCGGGAUAAGCCUGGGAAACUGGGUCUAAUACCGGAUAGGACGAUGGUUUGGAUGCCAUUGUGGAAAGUUUUUUCGGUGUGGGAUGAGCUCGCGGCCUAUCAGCUUGUUGGUGGGGUAAUGGCCUACCAAGGCGUCGACGGGUAGCCGGCCUGAGAGGGUGUACGGCCACAUGGGGACUGAGAUACGGCCCAGACUCCUACGGGAGGCAGCAGUGGGGAAUAUUGCACAAUGGGCGCAAGCCUGAUGCAGCGACGCCGCGUGGGGGAUGACGGCCUUCGGGUUGUAAACUCCUUUCGCUAGGGACGAAGCGUUUUUGUGACGGUACCUGGAGAAGAAGCACCGGCUAACUACGUG